GCCAGACUCCUACGGGAGGCAGCAGUGGGGAAUAUUGCACAAUGGGGGAAACCCUGAUGCAGCAACGCCGCGUGAAGGAAGGCGGUUUUCGGAUUGUAAACUUCUGUUCUUAGUGAAGAAGAAUGACGGUAGCUAAGGAGCAAGCCACGGCUAACUACGUGCCAGCAGCCGCGGUAAUACGGAGGAUGCGAGCGUUAUCCGGAUUUAUUGGGUUUAAAGGGUGCGUAGGCGGUUUUUUAAGUUAGUGGUUAAACGUCGGGGCUUCACCUUGAUUUGCCAUUAAUACUGUAAGACUUGAGUUCAGACGAGGUAGGCGGAAUAAGUUAAGUAGCGGUGAAAUGCUUAGAUAUAACGUAGAACUCCGAUAGCGAAGGCAGCUUACCAGACUGCGACUGACGCUGAAGCACGAGAGCGUGGGUAGCGAACAGGAUUAGAUACCCUGGUAAC
This 447-nucleotide ribosomal RNA is filed under the name uncultured bacterium. RNAcentral describes it as "partial 16S ribosomal RNA". It matches the Rfam family "Bacterial small subunit ribosomal RNA", at positions 330 to 794 of the family's 1533-position model. The record is from RNAcentral.